GCCGGCAGCUACUGUAGCUCACUGCAACUCUCACAUGGUCGCCCACUGAAGCCAAGCAGAGCUGCGCCCAGUCAGUACCUGGAUGGGACACCACAUGGGAAAGCUAGGCUGCUGCCGGAG
Non-coding RNA from Danio rerio (zebrafish), 120 nucleotides. NCBI's taxonomy places the organism in Eukaryota, Metazoa, Chordata, Actinopteri, Cypriniformes, Danionidae. The record is from Rfam.